This 455-nucleotide ribosomal RNA is filed under the name uncultured bacterium. RNAcentral describes it as "SSU rRNA". It matches the Rfam family "Bacterial small subunit ribosomal RNA", at positions 26 to 518 of the family's 1533-position model. The record is from RNAcentral.
AGGAUGAACGCUGGCGGCGUGCCUAAUACAUGCAAGUCGAGCGGUAAGGCCUCUUCGGAGGUACACGAGAGGCGGACGGCUGAGUAACGCGUAGGAACGUACCCUAAAGUGAGGGAUAAGCAUCAGAAAUGGUGUCUAAUACCGCAUGUGCUCUUCGGAGUAAAGCUUCGGCGCUUUGGGAACGGCCUGCGUAUGAUUAGCUUGUUGGUGAGGUAAAAGCUCACCAAGGCGACGAUCAUUAGCUGGUCUGAGAGGAUGAUCAGCCACAUUGGGACUGAGACACGGCCCAAACUCCUACGGGAGGCAGCAGUGGGGAAUAUUGGACAAUGGGCGCAAGCCUGAUCCAGCCAUGCCGCGUGAGUGAUGACGGCCUUAGGGUUGUAAAGCUCUUUCGCUAGGGACGAUAAUGACGGUACCUAGACAAGAGCCCCGGCUAACUUCGUGCCAGCAGCCGC